CUCUUAGUAACUGCGAGUGAACAGAGAUUAGCCCAGCAUCGAAGCCUCUGUGCGUUUGUGCAGAAGGCAAUGUGAUGUGACGGUGUUCGAUUUCGCAAACUGACUAACUUGAAGUCCAUAUUUGACUGUGGCUUACACUUAUGCUCCCCGAGAUGGUGAAAGGCCCGUUCAGGUUGGUAUUCAGAAUUGACUGUUUGCGUAUAUUCGUUCACCAUAGAGUCGGAUUGCUUGAGAGUGCAGUCCAAAUUUGGUGGUAAACUCCAUCAAAGGCUAAAUACCUGUGUGAGUCCGAUAGUCAACAAGUACCGUGAGGGAAAGUUGAAAAGUACUCUGAAGAGAGAGUAAAUAGUACGUGAAACUACAUGGAGGUUAAUCGGAUAGAGUCCAACUGCGUGUUGUUGUUCAUUGCAUUACCCACUUAUUGAUACAAAUCGGGCAUACGUGGUUUGUCAUUUGACAAGUCCAUUCGUGGACUCUUGGCAAUUGACAUUGGUAUCUUCCAUGAUGUCCGUAUGUGGGUAGUGUUAUGGCAGCAAUGAAGGCCACAGUCAGUUAACCUAUCGGCACUUAGUGUACAGCAACUGUGUAGUUGACUUAAUUGUUAUCUAUGCAGUGGUAAUAGUCGUCAUUCACGUGUGCUUGCAUAUGUGAGUGAUAUCAGGGCUACGGCCUGUUGUGCACUGAGUUAAGCUGUGUGGUGAACUGGUUAAAUAUAUUCAUUUAUUCAUGAGCUCGAAUAGCUUGCUAUGAGAGUUUGUGAUGGAAUGUAUGA
Molecule: ribosomal RNA, 772 nt
Filed under: Benedenia epinepheli
Lineage: Eukaryota; Metazoa; Platyhelminthes; Monogenea; Capsalidea; Capsalidae
Description: partial 28S ribosomal RNA
Rfam family: Eukaryotic large subunit ribosomal RNA
Source: RNAcentral